GCUGGCGUAGCUCAAUGGCAGAGCAGCGGUUUUGUAAACCGCAGGUUGGGGGUUCAAUUCCUCUCGCCAGCUCCA
Molecule: transfer RNA, 75 nt
Filed under: Nitrospira sp.
Lineage: Bacteria; Pseudomonadati; Nitrospirota; Nitrospiria; Nitrospirales; Nitrospiraceae
Also listed under: 2 other names
Description: tRNA-Thr
Rfam family: tRNA
About the family: Transfer RNA (tRNA) molecules are approximately 80 nucleotides in length. Their secondary structure includes four short double-helical elements and three loops (D, anti-codon, and T loops). Further hydrogen bonds mediate the characteristic L-shaped molecular structure. tRNAs have two regions of fundamental functional importance: the anti-codon, which is responsible for specific mRNA codon recognition, and the 3' end, to which the tRNAs corresponding amino acid is attached (by aminoacyl-tRNA synthetases). tRNAs cope with the degeneracy of the genetic code in two manners: having more than one tRNA (with a specific anti-codon) for a particular amino acid; and 'wobble' base-pairing, i.e. permitting non-standard base-pairing at the 3rd anti-codon position.
Source: RNAcentral